GGCCAACACUUGCCGGAUGUCGUCGCCGCAGACGCCGAGGCGCCCGCUCCGGCGCCCGCUGCCGUCUACACCGUCGCCGACGACCAAGUCCACCUCUCUGGCGUCAGCUCCGGCGGCACCGAAGAAGUCUCCUGCACUUAGAGCUACUUGAACCUGCGUGACAUCACAUAUUCCACCUACGGCAUCAGCACAUUGGCAGCAGAUGGCAGCGGUACGUUUGGCGACUAUCGGUGCAGCAACAGCGAGUGCAGUUGCAGUUGCGCCAGACAUGUGCAGCAAGGGAAAUGACUCUGCCGUGCAGUGAACAGUUGCAAACCUAGCUGCACCCGCACUCAUCAUCAUUGUCACCAGCGAUAAACUUGAGCACGAUGUUGCUCUAGUUCAGCAAACUGUAAUAAAUUAUGGCACUGUGUGUUUGGUUUAGCCCUGUACUGUGACUUUCGGGUCCUGAGUUACGCGUGACAAUUACUAGCUGACUUUAAGAGAUGCUGUUUACAGUGGAAUGACUUUAGUAAAUGUGUCUUGUCACAGUGUUUAGUCACACAGCUACUAGGUCAACUAAGCAAGCCAUUAUUGGCCAAAGGGUUUAGUGUGUUGUGACAAAGUGGAACAACUGGUAGUGAUGAACGAAGCAACACAAAAAUUCAGCUAAUUUUGCCGUCACACUACAGCUACAUCCUGUGUCAUACUAGUUAGCCAGCGAUGGAGUGAUCGUUAAUGCUGUCGAGAGUAGUAUCCCAUUUUCACAAUGUCGACUCUACUUCUCGUUUCUACGCUUCCGUCGCCUUCAUGAUCGAGUGUUUCAUAUAGUUAUAUGAUUAUCCUUCGCUUUCAUGCUAAACGCAUGUGACACACACUCAGUCUGACAGUGUUCAUGUUGUCCAUCUCAGGUUGUUCCAACGCUUGUACUGAGUUUUCUCUGUGUGUCUAAAAUGACUAUAUGCUGUAUUAGGUAUAGUGGUAUCGACUUUUUGAAGAUUAGUGUAUGAGCUCUAGGCUAGAAUGCUGGCAUUAGCAACUGAAUAACGGUGAAGGCUGUGUUAUGUUCCUGAUAUCAAGUGUCUCUUCCUGCCUCCUAUGCCAAUGACUUUCUCUCCAGUAUUUAAUAUGCUUUUUAUUGGAAAUGGUGCGCUGCUAGUAAGAGAAAGCGCUGAUUACUUACAGAUGUGUCAUAUAUGAAUGUGUACGUUUAGAAAAAUAAUACGUUAGUUACUGCUGCUUUAAUAUUUCCAUGAAGAAUUGCACCUAACUGAAAUGGCAAGUUGGUUUUAACAUGUAUGUAUCUUGAUCAAGUUAAGACCCUGGCUCACACUAAAUGUAAUGUGUUGCUGAGUUACGUUUCAGAGACAAUCAUAUGAAAGUAAUCAGGCAAAAAUAUAAAUGGAACGCUAUAUAUAUCCAUUUAAAUACCUGGAGAAGGAACACAAUACCGGGGCAUGCGGACUGUCAUAUAGCUCCAAGCAGCAGUUUCUCUUCAGGCGUGACCGACUUGUACUUCAUACUGGCAUACGUUGUGACAGUUGAUUUGAGUGAUAUCACUUGAAAAUAUAAUGGCACAUCACAGUUAGUUUCGGAGAAAAGACGUAUUAUACAUAAUUAAAGGAAUUCAGCGAUACAGAGUGCUGAAAUUCAGCCAACUCUUAUUUCAGUCAGACUCUCGGUAUUUGAAAUCGACCGCUGACGGGUGCUUUAUCAAUGGCUCACGCAUAUCUCUGACACGGCGGAAAAGUAAAAUACGCGUUUGCUACGUUUAUAAAUACUCAGUGUGUGUCUUUCCAAAUUAUUCUGCAAUUAUAUUUAAAUUAAAAUACGGGUCAUUUUUAAACGUAAGAAAUGUUUUUGCAACUUUUAUCAGUUCUGAAAUUCACAAGAAUAGCAGGUAUGAGCCCCACAUUUAAGCUGUUAGUGUCUCGUCACGAACACUGCUUGAUGUCCUGUCUUUCUUGUGCAUCUUCAGAGGAGUGUGAAUCAUUACAAAUGUAAGUCUACAGGGACAGUGGUAAUUGGCAGAAAAUCCCGUCUUCCUAAUAAGUACAUAAAUAUUUUGUGUUUAGAAUUACUUAUGUAAAGGUGGCAUGGCUAGAAAUGUGGUUACACAUGUACCACGUCGAUCAAACAUCAAGCGUAAGAGUUGUAAACGUUGUCUUUGCAGUCGCUGUAUAAACUAGCCUCAGCCUUCAGUAAGUUCUGUCUUAAGAGUAGACAACUUUGUCGUCAUUUUGUUCAUUGAAUUGAGAGACUGUAAUAAGUUUGAUACUUGCAGCCUGCUAGUGGAAGUCACAUUUCAACAAAUGCUUUGUUUCGUGACGCAUGGUAUGUACAAAGUCAACAACUUAAAAGUAUAAUCUGACUUUUCCAUAUCUCAAAUCGACUAAUCCGUCGUUAAAUGAAGCUAACAACAUUAAUAUCAUUCUGACAGCUUACGAAAAAUUCAGAUAUAUGAACAUUACUGAGAGUUAUGCAUCGCUAUUCAGUAAUAACCGGGUUGGAUACAUUUUAUUCUAUAUGAAUCAAUUGUGAACAGUCUGAUGUAAGGGGAUUGUUGGAUGCUGAAAAUAAGUUAUGUCAGUUUAUUUGAUGAAAUGUUUAAUCCAAUAUAACUCAUACUAAGCUUGGUCAGUAAGGUAAUCGAUACUUUUGUGUUGAAUGCACAAACAUUCGCUUACUACAAAUGACCGGUUCUCUUAGUCGUAGACUAUACUUCUGUGGAUAAUCGUAUUAUGCUCUUCACCUCCAGAAUGAGAAGACCAGUUGUGGAUGCUGAAGCAAAAAUUUACUUCUAGUAGCGUAGUCACAUUUUUUUCUUCUGGUUCUAGAAUUUCAUUUACUAAGAAUUUAGUUACUGGUGUGAUUUUCUCUUCCGAACGGUUAAAGUAGGUCCCAGGGCUAAUGUUAAAAUAUUAAAAAUCACUUGGUCACUCAUAAGACCUAUCCACAUCACAUUUAAAAAAAUUAAUCUGUAAGCAAUUUAGAAUGUUUCCUUGUCUUCUAAAAAAUUUUGUACAAAACUUUAUGUUCAGUGGGAAGAGCAUCAAAUUCUUCGAUAAAAAGGUCAAGAGUUUGCCAUUUUCGGCAUCGAAACAUUACCCAUACACCUAAAACUGCAAAAUUUGAAAUUUGAUUGAUAGUCGGUUUGACUUAUGAAGGGCUCAUUAAUCAUAAUCUACAACUGUAAUAAAUUUCUAAUUUGUAUUAUA
Long non-coding RNA from Schistocerca cancellata (South American locust), 3197 nucleotides. RefSeq lists it as uncharacterized. Lineage: Eukaryota; Metazoa; Arthropoda; Insecta; Orthoptera; Acrididae. The record is from RefSeq and is a predicted model, not a curated record. The transcript has 2 exons.